CUACAAGGGUAUCUAAUCCUGUUUGCUCCCCACGCUUUCGCACCUGAGCGUCAGUCUUCGUCCAGGGGGCCGCCUUCGCCACCGGUAUUCCUCCAGAUCUCUACGCAUUUCACCGCUACACCUGGAAUUCUACCCCCCUCUACGAGACUCUAGCCUGUCAGUUUUGAAUGCAGUUCCCAGGUUAAGCCCGGGGAUUUCACAUCCAACUUAACAGACCGCCUGCGUGCGCUUUACGCCCAGUCAUUCCGAUUAACGCUUGCACCCUCCGUAUUACCGCGGCUGCUGGCAC
Molecule: ribosomal RNA, 289 nt
Filed under: uncultured Enterobacteriaceae bacterium
Lineage: Bacteria; Pseudomonadati; Pseudomonadota; Gammaproteobacteria; Enterobacterales; Enterobacteriaceae
Description: partial 16S ribosomal RNA
Source: RNAcentral